CUGCAAGCUCGCCUUAUUACUCUCAUUGUAAAUCCUUAAACUAUCCUUCUUCCUUUUCUGCCGCUGCAGAUUAUUUUUCUUCUUCACCCUCUUCCCCUCCCACUCCGCCGAUGACCGUAUCACCGCCGGCACCGACACCUGCCGCGCCGCCCCAGCUGUGCAUCCUAAACCUCUGAAUGUGGUGCUCUUUUUCUUGGUAGUGGCCUCAGUGUUGGUUGUGGAGAAGGGGGAAAGGAAGAUAGAGGAGAUGGUGGAUUUGGAGGGACGACAGAUAUGUGGGGGUGGAUCUGUUUCUUGUGUAGAAAUGGGAUUCUCUUCUUGUUGAUGUUGGUGAUGGAAUUGGUUUCUGGGUUUUCUCAGCUUGAUUUGCUCCGCUAUAGUGGAUGAACUCUCUACAAAAACAGGCAUGAUCUUACAGAGAGAGAUAGGGAAGAAGAAAGAAAUGAAGAAUACAGAAAUGGAAUGCCGCAAGUAAUUAAGCUUCAGAAACAGAGAGAGAGAGAGAGAGUAAAACAUCCAAGCAGGAUUCCCAAAAGCCACAGAUAUAGACCUGUCUUCAGUAAAUGAAAUAUUACACAAUCACAGAAGAAGAAAGCAUGAUAGAACUAUUAUCCAAUCAAUAAGUAGAUUUUCAAUUUUUGAGGCCAGUAUCAUAUAAGCAUCUAACGCUAGAAACUCACAUGUCCUCUUUGAUCUGUAUUGGGUACAAACACAUGGAUGGGUGUUCCAGUAGUCACUCCUUCAGAGACACCUGAAUAUAUUUUGCAUGUAUCAGUCUCUUUUCUAGGGGUGGUAAUUCGACUCUGACCUGGCCUCCUCCUAUCCAGAUCAACUUGCAAAUCAGCUUCUGAUAGAGGGAUACGAGGAGGGCAUCCAUCAACGAUACAACCAACGCCACCUCCAUGAGACUCUCCAAAAGUUGUAACACGAAAGUAAGUACCAUAUGUACUCCCCGCAGCAUGUAUUUGGAGCUUUUUGGGGGUUCGUGGGCGGAAGGAGAUCUGGACUGUGGCGAUAGAGAGGUCCCGGAGGUUGGAAAGCGAGGAAGACCCAUCAAGCCGGUAAGCCCCAAGGAAAGGCUUGGAUGAAAGAGAAGAAGAAGCCAUUGAACAAGUAUCGAAUUCAGUGCCAAGAGAAGAAGAAGAGGAAAAGGAAAUGAUUGGGAUUGGUGGGUAGUGAGGUUUGGGCAGUUGGUAUAAA
This 1200-nucleotide unclassified non-coding RNA is filed under the name Hevea brasiliensis (rubber tree). Lineage: Eukaryota; Viridiplantae; Streptophyta; Magnoliopsida; Malpighiales; Euphorbiaceae. The record is from RNAcentral.